AUUGAACGCUGGCGGCAGGCCUAACACAUGCAAGUCGAACGAGUGGCGGACGGGUGAGUAAUGUCUGGGAAACUGCCUGAUGGAGGGGGAUAACUACUGGAAACGGUGGCUAAUACCGCAUACUAUCGGAUGUGCCCAGAUGGGAUUAGCUAGUAGGUGGGGUAAAGGCUCACCUAGGCGACGAUCCCUAGCUGGUCUGAGAGGAUGAACAGCCACACUGGAACUGAGACACGGGCCAGACUCCUACGGGAGGCAGCAGUGGGGAAUAUGGCACAAUGGGCUCAAGCCUGAUGCAGCCAUGCCGCGUGUAUGAAGAAGGCCUUCGGGUUGUAAAGUACUUUCAGCGGGGAGGCGUUACCCGCAGAAGAAGCACCGGCUAACUCCGUGCCAGCAGCCGCGGUAAUUC
RNAcentral lists this ribosomal RNA (406 nucleotides) under uncultured bacterium. Its description in RNAcentral is "partial 16S ribosomal RNA". It matches the Rfam family "Bacterial small subunit ribosomal RNA", at positions 30 to 526 of the family's 1533-position model. The record is from RNAcentral.